AGAGGCUUAGGAUAACUUUAGACCAAGGGCCUUCAAAGCCCUAAGCGGGAGUUAAAAUCUCCCAGCCCCUG
RNAcentral lists this transfer RNA (71 nucleotides) under Acentrogobius chlorostigmatoides (greenspot goby). Its description in RNAcentral is "tRNA-Trp". It matches the Rfam family "tRNA". Rfam says of the family: Transfer RNA (tRNA) molecules are approximately 80 nucleotides in length. Their secondary structure includes four short double-helical elements and three loops (D, anti-codon, and T loops). Further hydrogen bonds mediate the characteristic L-shaped molecular structure. tRNAs have two regions of fundamental functional importance: the anti-codon, which is responsible for specific mRNA codon recognition, and the 3' end, to which the tRNAs corresponding amino acid is attached (by aminoacyl-tRNA synthetases). tRNAs cope with the degeneracy of the genetic code in two manners: having more than one tRNA (with a specific anti-codon) for a particular amino acid; and 'wobble' base-pairing, i.e. permitting non-standard base-pairing at the 3rd anti-codon position. RNAcentral also lists the same sequence under 1 other name. Lineage: Eukaryota; Metazoa; Chordata; Actinopteri; Gobiiformes; Gobiidae. The record is from RNAcentral.